Molecule: long non-coding RNA, 1125 nt
Organism: Seriola dumerili (greater amberjack)
Lineage: Eukaryota; Metazoa; Chordata; Actinopteri; Carangiformes; Carangidae
Exons: 4
Source: RefSeq, a predicted model, not a curated record
AUUGUUUGUCAUCAUGGGCUGACAGGCUCAGAGAGCUCCAUGAGCCUUCGUGUGGAUCGGUUUCUUUAUUCAGUCGGCACAUUUCUGGUCCAUUGCUGCAACUCAGUCCAUCCAACCUGGCAAAACCAUUGAUGUCCACAUACAGUAACAUUUGCUGCGUCCUUACGUCAACAGCUACUGGAUGGGACAGGAGGAUGUAGCACCUUGGAAACAUCUUGACUAAUUAAAGACACUUUUAUGCCAAUGGACUUCUAUCUGCCCAUGGACCUGUAAUAGUGUACAGUGGACUGUGGAAGGAAAGACCCGUUGUGAUCAAGUGUGCUAUUGAGGAUCUAGUCAAGACUGACGGAGCUCCAGACUGUACUGCAAGAGGCGAUGAGCUUAUUUGACAAACCCACUCAUGGAACCUCUAUGGAUGAAUUUAAAGAGAUGCUGCACAGUUUCCUUAAGGCUAAGCUUGGUGAGCAGCCAUCUUUGAACACCUUGGUGGACAGGGUCAUCACUCUGGCUGAUGUCAAUCAGGAUGGCAAAGUGUCUCUAGCAGAGGCCAAGUCUAUCUGGGCUCUUCUCCAGAUCAAUGAAUUCCUUCUGAUGGUGACGCUGCAGGAGAAGGAGCACACGCCCAAGCUGCUCGGCCUCUGUGGAGACUUGUAUGUGACAGAACAUGUGGACCACAGCUCCCUCUACAGGAUAGAGGUGCCUCAUUACCUGCAGGCCCUGGUCCCAGAGGCCUUGAGCUCCAGCUUGAACCACUGGCUUGCAUCAGUCUGGCCCCGCAGAGCUUGCAUCACCAUCAGCCGGCUGGAGGUCUUCCACAGGUCCUACAGGAGUUUGUGUUGUGUGUUUGUGUUCCCUUUACAUAACAAAAACAAAAAACUACAACAAGAGUGCAGAGUUACGCUGAACAUAUACUUGGUCAAAGCAACAUUAAAUUUCAAGGCUGUGUGUAAUUUCCUUUUUUUAUUUAUUUAUUUGUUUCAUUAAAUGUCCUUUGCACUUAUGAGCAAACUGUUUCUUUGUGAAAGCCAGAUUCAAAAAGGCUUCAUUAUUGGCUCAUAGUCUAUCAUAAAAUGUAUGUAUAUGUAUAUGUAAGUUUAAGUAACACAGAGCUAAAAGAGGGAACAC